RNAcentral lists this long non-coding RNA (1314 nucleotides) under Rattus norvegicus (Norway rat). Its description in RNAcentral is "long non-coding RNA NONRATT031258". Lineage: Eukaryota; Metazoa; Chordata; Mammalia; Rodentia; Muridae. The record is from RNAcentral.
GGUUAGAGUUGUCCGGCGGAAAUUCAAGCACAUAAUUGGAGAGGACCUUGUGGUGUGUCAGAUUGGUGUGCUUUCCUAUGAAUUUCCCCCAGCUCUGAAACCACCAGAAGACCUGGUAGUACUGGGAAAGGAUGCUUCUGGAUUGCUCAGAAGUAUGGCCUAAAGAGUAAGUCUCAUGGGGUGGGCCAUGAUAGGUACCUGGUGGUAGGUAGAAAACGGCGGAAGGAAGACCUACUAGAUCAACUCAAACAGGAGGGCCAAGUGGGACAUUAUGAGCUUGUUAUGCCCCAAGCAAACUAAGAUUUUACUAAAUUAAUCUUAUAAAUGCCUGAUGAGGCAGAUAUACAGAUAACAAAAAAGCUACAUGUUCCGGUUGAAGAGUAUUCAUUCUUAAGAUGUUUCACCUUGUUCAUUUCAUAUAGUGCUUUAUUAGGUAUUGGAACCUGGAGAAUUCUGUCCACUUGUACUAUAAGCUUAAUCCAGCAGAGAUAUUGUGCAGCUACUGUUUGUGUCUUUGAUAUUGCUCUGUUCCCUCAGAUUUUAGUAGUUUGUACAAGCAAAAACACCCAUCUAAGUGCAAUUUCACCCUGAGGAAAAUAAUUCACAUUAUAAAGGGCAUAGCACAGUAAUCUGCAACAAUCUGUAGUCAAUGCUGAGACUCUAACUACGCUAAUUCCAGAUUUACUUAACAUGUCAGGUCAUUUUGUAUCAUCGAUUUUCAUCUUUGUGAGAAGCCAGUUGUAGAGCAUUUAACAAUAAAGUGUGCUGUACGUGUAAAUGUCUUUAUCAACUAAAUGAUGUAAAACUUUCUUUAAAGUAAUUUUAGUGUGUGUUUAUUUAUAACUUCUACCAUGUGAUUUCCAGGAUAUUGGAAGUGAUUUACUGUAUCUUGUGACAUGUGACUUUUAACAAAUUCUAGUCUUCACGCUGAGAGAGCACUACUUGAGAGAGAUGUCGAAAAGUUUCCAAAAGGUCUUGAUUCAAUCAGAAGAAAGGAAGCUUGAACUGUUUGUUCUUGGUGCCUUGCAGAGAGACUCAGAGCAACUCUCCAUUGUAGCUUUCAUACGGUUUGUGCACCACACCCAAGGCAACCAGAGCUGUGGUAGAGCUUGGUAAAAGACGGAAGAUACAUUGGUGCUUUGAUGAAAAAGGUCAGUUAGCUGGUUCCCCUCUCAAAAAGCUUAUUUCUCCCCAAAGCCAACUUUGUAACAUACUUAAAACUGCUAUUUUCGCUUAUUUCUGGAAUAUAAAAAUGUAUAAAAAUAAGAGUUAGUGUAUGCUUCCUGAAUAAAAAGGAGCCAGAGUUGAUCAAAA